GAUGAACGCUGGCGGCGUGCCUAACACAUGCAAGUCGAACGAAGCUUGACGGAUGAUUUCUUCGGAAUGAAACCAGAUAUGACUUAGUGGCGGACGGGUGAGUAACACGUGAGCAACCUGCCUUUCAGAGGGGGAUAACGGCUGGAAACGGUCGCUAAUACCGCAUGAUGUGUUCGGAUGGCAUCAUCUGAACAUCAAAGAUUUAUCGCUGAAAGAUGGGCUCGCGUCUGAUUAGAUAGUUGGUGGGGUAACGGCCUACCAAGUCUACGAUCAGUAGCCGGAAUGAGGGGUUGAACGGCACAAUUGGGACUGGGAUACGGCCCAGGCCCCCACGGGAGGCAGGAGGGGGGAAUAUUGCAAAAGGGGGAAAACCCUGAUGCAGCAACGCCGGGGGAAGGAUGACGGUUUUCGGAUUGUAAACUUUUUUUUUUAGGGACGAAGACAGUGACGGUAGCUAAGGAAUAAGCAUCGGCUAACUACGU
This 482-nucleotide ribosomal RNA is filed under the name uncultured bacterium. RNAcentral describes it as "partial 16S ribosomal RNA". It matches the Rfam family "Bacterial small subunit ribosomal RNA", at positions 28 to 506 of the family's 1533-position model. The record is from RNAcentral.